CAGACCACCGCCUGGCAUGCAGGACUCUCACCACGCAGAGGGGCUCAGAAACAAAACAAACCCCCCCGCGCUCCUCCUUCAGGACGGACGGGGCGGCGCGCUGUUCGUGCAACGCGCCAACACUUGAGCCGCAGAAUCCAGAAAUACACAACGGGAUGUUGUUGUUUUUCCGUCUUGCUGUUGUUGAUGACUGCUGGGCUGCCAUGUGCAGUGUGUUAUUUAACCAUCACGGUGACGUGCGCCUCCACACUUCGCCUCCGUGCGUGUACGCGCGUGUUUCUGUGUGUCUGAGACUCCGGACUACGUAACUCCGGUUGGUUCUGUAGUUCAUCUACAGUUAUUCUGAAGGAUCCAGAGGUGCUCACACCAGGAAAAACAUGUAUCUGCAUAGAACAAAGCACAAAAAAAGAAAAGAAAAAAGAAGUUGCAAUGCCAUAACGGUGGAUGGGGGGCAAAGUGACCAUCCAGAAGUCGCUGCUAGUGGAGACGAACAGCUCCGCUGUGUGUUUUUCCUGGUUUAUAAAACAUCCACUACACGUGUACUCUGCUAAAUAUAGUAUCUGUUGUAACUCUUCGGUCAAUUAUUAAAGAAGAUGGUAUAAGUUG
Molecule: long non-coding RNA, 606 nt
Organism: Lampris incognitus (smalleye Pacific opah)
Lineage: Eukaryota; Metazoa; Chordata; Actinopteri; Lampriformes; Lampridae
Exons: 2
Source: RefSeq, a predicted model, not a curated record